Molecule: long non-coding RNA, 1617 nt
Organism: Vespula pensylvanica (western yellowjacket)
Lineage: Eukaryota; Metazoa; Arthropoda; Insecta; Hymenoptera; Vespidae
Exons: 6
Source: RefSeq, a predicted model, not a curated record
GGAUCUCGUCCGCGGAAGACAUCCUUUCAAUAACUUUUGAACGAAUAAUACGCAAAGAUGUACAAGACUAAACGAAAGCGAAAGCAGUUCUAAUAGCCCAGAAGUAUUGCAAAGGAGUAGGAUUAACCGAUAUCUAAAUUUUAAUUACGUCUGAAGAAGAUACUCAACUUGGAUCUCAACUACGCUCGAUUUAACCAUUAAACAGUCGACAUCCGAAAUGAAACACGCUUCCAUUGGUACUUCCUGCUCUUCCUUACAUCCUAUGAUUCGUUCUACUUGGAUGGUAGAAAUAUCCGACCGUCAGAGAGAGUAGGAAAUGAAAACGUUUACCUCUUCAGUUUUAUAUUUAAAUGAUUUUAUCAUGGCGAUUAGAAUAUUUCUAUUGAUGAAUGGGAUAUUAAGUCUCUUAACUCUAGCUAUCCUAAAGAUCGUUAAAACGGCGGAGGAAGCUGAUGCUGCUCAUGAAUUUAUUACAAAUCUUCCUAGUGAUAAGAAAACCAAGUUGGUGAAAGAGGCACCUAAUUAUUCGGUUCAUGGAAACAACGUGUUGCUAUUCUUAGAGCAUUAAUAUAGCAACAAUCAACUUCAAUAUUUAAUUUUAUUAAACGAGCGCAUUGGAUCCUGGAAGCAGAAGACUGCUUCAAGAAACAAUUGAAAAUUCAAGGAAGAAACAUCGUUAGCUAUUGUUCAUGCAUGCAUUAUUUGAUUGGGAAUACCUAAGAAGAGGAAAAAGAAGAAAAAACAUUUGUGCUUGACAAUGAAGUUUCGAAAGACCAAUAUGGCGCUGUUUUAUAAAGCUUGAAGUGGUGGUACGAGAAACUGGGAGGGACUUAUCUUUUUUAAAGGAUUUAAACGUGAGCGGCUUUAGCUGGAGCGUAUACGGGAUUGAACUCGGAAUGAUUUAUUGAAGGGUCGUCGAACGUUCCACGAAGGGUCAAUUAAAAUUUCCUCUUACUUGCCCGAAGGGAUGAAAAGGCCGAAAAGGACAUGGUUUGGGACGGAAACGAAUUUCUCCAUCAAUCCCUUCUAAUUGGACGUAACAUCGUUCGUUUGAAUAGUGAUACAAUUAGACGGAAUAAACCGUUUUCAAUGGAUCCAUAGAUGGGGAGCUUUAGCUAGAGGGUAAAAUCGAUUUUAAUCAAAGAGACCGUUGAAGGGUUGUCCAUUGAUGUUGCAUGUGAAACAUGAAUCAAAGUGAAAUUGAGAUGGAACUGAGAACAUGAUUAAACCUACGAGAACGAUACACAAAUUCACCGCUUUCAAGAUAAUAAUGCUAGUUAUACGAGAAAUAUUAAUUUCAUGUUUACGUCAUAGUGUUAUCAUUAUUUCAUCAAUUUAAAUUGAGUAAUUAUUCUAUUUAAUUAUAAAUAGAAGCAAUUUUGGGUUCAAUGUUUCACAAUUUUUCAUCAUAAUAUUCAUGAUAUCUACUGAAAAAAUAUUUAUAACAUUUAAUGUACGUUUUUCAGUAAUAUCGGAAUUUGUACGAAUUAUUCUGCUCUUUAAAUUGAAUUCUCUUGUUAAUAUGAUUUGAUUGGGUUUUAUUGAAAAUGCAUGUAUGUAUUACGUUCCUCCAUACGUAUCGUCAAGUACCCUCAGAUUAAACGAAUUGUUACUACC